UAUUUAAUUUGAUCAUAUGUUUAUAUAAAAACAAAAUAUGGCAGGGAGUCAGGCAGCUGUUGCCCCUUAUUAUAGUAGAUGCGAGUGCAACGCAAGACCUGUGAGCCCCAACUCCCACCGGAGCUUCUAGUUCUCAUAGCCAAACGUUACCCUUCUCCCAUAUACCUCCCUUCACGAAAACAUGGUAGAUUUGAAGAGUAUCUGAGCCAUAUUGCCAGAACCACCUUUUACCUUGUUAAAUUGUCUCACCCUAACUAAACACAACCCCCUGCCUGCUGGUUGGUCAAAAUCCGAGAUAGAGCUCGCGGUGUCAAAACACAACUGUUGAAUCCUUUUCAGAUUAUGAGCAGGAACCUCUUCCGGAAAACUUCCCAAAGAGGGUUCGACUUUUAUGAUGUUCGGAGAAAACAAAAAGGUCGUGCUUGAAAAUGUGGGUGACCUGAGGAUAUUAUCUCAUCUAAUGGGAAGCUCUAUGCCGUUGACCCAGAAGGAAGAACUAUAGUGAUUGACCCAUGCUUAAACGUUAGUUUCCUAACACAUGUAGAAUGUUUCCGCACUUUGUUAAUCCAUAAAACUGGCUAUGUGGAGAUGAAAGUGCGACCCAAAAUGGACCACCAAAAAAAUUAACAAUUCGAUUUAAGCAUAAUCUUUUUUUUCCUUGGCUAACACGAUUUGAAGUUAAAAUAGGCCAAAAGGAAAUCAAAACUUUGAGACUCGUACUCCUAAUGGUAAGAAAUGUACAUGAUUACAUCCAGCGAAUCCUCUUUAAUCUGUCAGCAACCAAUGAAACUAUGCAAUUUUUUCUACUAUUCAUAGAACUUACCUCACGCAGGGUCAUGAAUCUUCGGCUUCAAUCUCUCUCAUGAGCAUUUUCAGAAACUCUUCUCGCACUGAGGCUCCGUGUAUAUGAACACACCCUCUCAAAUUCAACUGCACAUGGUUUUCCGAAUUUCCAAUCGGAUUCCUCCUUAAGAAUGUUUCUCUUCAAAGAGGAAGGUGCCCUUCCAGGGUUUCCAGAGAGCGGGGUUGAAGAACAGAAGGUUGGCGUUGCAAAAGGAGAGGCAUAAGGAGUGUGCUGAAUUGAGAAGGGGCUUGGGGACAUUCGUUUUUGGAUUGGAAGACCACCCAAUCCUCUCCUGU
Long non-coding RNA from Gossypium arboreum, 1140 nucleotides. RefSeq lists it as uncharacterized. Lineage: Eukaryota; Viridiplantae; Streptophyta; Magnoliopsida; Malvales; Malvaceae. The record is from RefSeq and is a predicted model, not a curated record. The transcript has 2 exons.